UCCACCACCUCCCACUUCCCUGCCUGCCCUCACUCUGCCACCUCCCGCUGUCAGGGUCGUGUUGUGUCAGAUGCCCUCACUCCAAGACAGCCUCUGGAAAACUGCCAGCCCAAUCCAGUUUCCUGUUAGGCUCGGUCACAGCCAGCUCUGAAGAGAAUGGACGAGGUCCAGGGACUCCAAGCAGGCCACAUCUGGAUCCUCUGGAGCUAGGCGGGUAUUGGUUGAAACUCAGGGAAAACUUUAUCAACCUACUUUAAUGGCUGAAACUUGUGGCAAUCCUCCUGCCUCAGACUCCUAAGGGAUGGGAUUAGAUAUGCACUGCCACACCUGGCUUCAAUUUCAUGCAUGUUAUGUGUGCUCACGUGUGUAUACAGACACAUGUAGAGGUGAGGACUCUCACUGACGUGGCUAUCUCCUCAGCCGCUGACUGCACUUUGAUUGCCUUUCUCCUUCCUCCCCUGAACUGAGAACACCUCCUGUGUUGUCCCCUGCCCCUGCCAGCGCCGCCCCACUGCCCCCACCGGUAGCUCAUUCAUUCUCCAAGCUCCGAACCUUAUUCCUUUAUUAAAGACUUUGUCCGUUUCCUAAAUAUCCAGGCCUUCCAUCCCUGCCACCUGGGCACUGAGCCAUCACCUCCACCCAAGCAGAAUUAAAGCCCUAUUCCCUGAGCGUGCCGAUUCCUUCCCCAUUGGCCCCCUCCUCAUAACACCGCCCGUCUCCUGGUCACUCGGGUUUGUAAUUGGGACGAGCCACCUCCUCUCUCCCCUCUCCCCUCCCAAGUCCUGAGCAAGUCUUCUGUUACCUGGUGCUGCUUUCACCACACAGCUUCCCCGCUUGCUUUCCUACCCAUCUGAGCCCCUCCGUGUCGCUGCCAAGGCCAUCGCGGUCCGAUCCACACCCGUGAGGAAACCAGUAAGCUGUGCGUUCGCCAUCUCAAUUCACCUCACGGCGCGAGCCGCAAGUCCAGGCACAGCUUGCCCUUAUCUUGUCAGCUGGUGACUGUGAUGGGCACAAGGUGACACCAGGACAAACGGACAUCCAGAAGGACCCGGCUCUUCAGGCUUGUCUUCUGCAAAGUUCACUGGAGCCUGGCCGCCUGCUUCCGGCUUCAGCUCCCCAGCUGCUCCAGCUCUUGGGAGGGCCUGCUCCUGAAGCUGUUCAAUGCUUCAGCGCUCACAAAGUGAAAAUGUCUGUCCUUGUUUGCGCUUAAUAGGAAGGAAAUGCUUGGAGCAGAAUGCAGGCCACGGGAAGUUCGGUGCGAGUACAGGGGGCAGACUGGGCAGACAAACCAUACUGAAGGUCUGAGUGCCGGCCCUUUGGGGGUUCAGCAGGGAGUUGAUGCUCAACCUGAACCACAAAAUUCCCAAACCGAGCCACCAUUUGAAAUAGAAAUAAUUUCUAAAUGGGGGGACGGGGUCCAGCACAGUGCACAGAACUUUCCAGGUUCCCCCAAGCAGUAUUCCAAGACUAAUCCCCCGCCCCCAACCUCUACCAAGCUUCCUUCUGUGUGACUAUGGCUGUACAUGCACAUGUGGGAACCAGGCCAACCUCAGCUGUAUUCCCCAGGUGCCACCCACCCUGUCUUUGAGUCAUAGCUGUAAUUUGGCCUGGAGCUCACCAGAGGCUAGCUGGCUGGGUCCUGGGACCCACUGACCAUUGGGAUUAUGUGUGUGGGCUGGCUUCUACUUUUCACGUGGAUGCUGGGAAUCAAACUCAAGUCCUCUGACUGAGCCUCUCCCUGGAGCCUCUACCACAGGUUUCUACGGCCGUUCAAAAGCCUAUCCUCGUCGCUGCUUCUUCUCAGUCUCAUUGUAGACUCUCCUGAGGCAAGAAGGGAGCAGCCGGAGAGAGGCUUCUGCACAAACCGGGACUUGGGUCCCUAACCUCACAAGUCCCUGUGGAAGCAGCUCUCCCCCCAUUUCAGAGCUAUCCUGAGUCCCUUCCCUUCCACAGGCUGACUCAAUUUCAGAACACAUGGAGAAAAGCAUUCUCACACACUGAUGGAGAAGCAGAAUUCAAACAAUAAAAACCCAGAAAUGUAAUGACUGGAGGAGGUGCUGAGCCAGCUCCUGGGCUGCCCUCCUGAGAACAAGGCCUGCGGCACCGCUGUCAGCUGCUGUCCCCAAUCUUUCCAAGUAUUUGGGAUCCAAUCAUGUCUAAUAUCUUCAAAAGGAUGGGAUUUGCUUCUCCACCUGAGUCGUGAGGAAUGACAGGGAAGGCCUGCACUCAGAGAACUGUGUGAGAAAACCACAGAGACUGAAGAUAAGAACACCUGAAGCUGCUUUUGACUACAGAUGAGAACUACUACCCACAAAUACAGGAGCUGCAUCACAACGGUCAUCUCGUUCACUAGUAAAAUCCAGUAUGAUGGAGCAGACUGGGGAGGCAGGGUGCUCAUGGAGAAGGCCAUCAGUUGCCCCAAGCCUUGCCAUCUUGGAAAUCCAGGUACUAAUAAAAACAAAAGUCUUGAGUAAGGUGUGAUCAUUUAUUCAUUCAACAAACAUUUCCUAAUGUUGCAGCCUGUGAGCUGCAAGCCCAUGCUAAUCACCUCCAAUACACUUAACAAUGACAUUCGAGUGUGGCUUUGGUCUUCGUUCGCAUCAGACAGGUCCUCAGUCUUACUGCAGCUGGCUGGGCCUGUCAAGCUGCAGUCAAUAGCUCUAUAGAGAAAGUACAAACACCACCUGCAGAUGGAAACACUUGGCCAAGGGACCGCACCAUGUGGGCGAGUAGAAUUCUGCAGGAGGGAUCCAGACAAGAAAAUGGCGAGGUUCAGAUGCAGCAGUCCACAGCCAGCAUGGGGCACCUUUAAAGGCUUCCUGGUGCUAUUCACUUUGAAAGCAU
This is a long non-coding RNA of Alexandromys fortis (reed vole), 2844 nucleotides long. RefSeq lists it as uncharacterized. Lineage: Eukaryota; Metazoa; Chordata; Mammalia; Rodentia; Cricetidae. The record is from RefSeq and is a predicted model, not a curated record. The transcript is spliced from 2 exons.